UUUUUUUUGCAGGGUAAAAGAGAGUUUCAUUCCAUAAUGACAGGGUUACAAUCUUGAGCCACCAAAUCCUCACAACACGGAGAAGUCGAAUUCAACCAUACCGCAGUACAAGCCUCGGUACGACUAUACAAAGCGAGUUGAUGUUGGCUUUAUUAAUUUAAAGCCGAACGCUCCUUGCGUAUUCGCUCUAAUAAAAAAGAGUUGUGGCGGCAACUUGAAAAUUUUGGGUUGUGGGCGGGGGCGAUGUUUGUUCAGAACUGCUGUGUUGUGUUCUUGAGAUUGUUCAUGUGAGAGGGUGUUCAAACCCAUAGGUGUCAAGGGAAGAAUGUGAAUCUUUUUCUAUCGAAAUGAGAAUGGCUGCCUUCAGUUAUUCUGCAAGGAACAGACUUUUUUUUAUGGGUGUAUUUCAAACCCAGAAAACAAGAUAAGUCGCUAAUUUCACUGUGAAUAUCAAUUCAUCUUUAUAUACCUGUUGCAGUGCUGUAGCAUGUCCUCCAAUGACAGAUUAUUAUUCCUUCAUCUGGACUGUUUUGGAGAUCCUUUUUUUUUCUGUGAGGAAAACUGAUUUGGAGAUCUGAAGAUAAUCUACAGGAAACUUGCUCGACGUGGUGGUAGGUACACAAAGCUGAACUGAACGAGCUUAUUAACACGAGAUCCCGGAGUCCAUCUCGUGCUUAUCAGGGGCAGGGGCAACCAACCAGAAUACUGAUUUCAAACUUUGACACUGUAUCAUUUAAGCUACUACAAGAUGGAAGCUGGCUAAAACCGGCAGGUCAUUCCACAUGUUUGAGAUAGGACACAUCUUCUCUUACACUCCUGAUUGUGUCCAAUGUUUCAGCAUACUCUACUCAAGCAAUGGCCGACCCAGUCUGCAGUUUCGACGGUGGCAGAACCAGGAAUAGCAGGAGAUACAAAAUGUUCUGGUGCGUUGUUUAGGAAUUGCGGGUGAUGCAUGCAACCAAUAAUAUUGCAGGCACGAUGUGGAAGCCCGCAGCCUUUUCUGAACCUGUAAAAUCUGAAAGCAAGACACCAAGUAACUUGUAGUGCCAUCAGUAUGUUUGCAGUUCAGAGCCGCUAAUAUGCGUCUUCAGUUCAGAGCAUAUUAGCGGCUCGUCCGUUCGUUCGGGUUCAGAUGCAGCAAGCCGGAUUGCUUAUAUUGCAAAAAUUGAUAGUCGAAUGAUAAUUUAAGUUCAAAAAAUCAGAGCAUAAGAACACGCGGCUUGAAAAGGCAAGAAAUUUGAUAAUCUAAUCCAACAUUUGGUGCAACCACAUUCAAGAGGAAAGGCUCAGAUACAGGGAGAAUCGGGCAUUCAAAGGCACGUGUAUGAGAACUGGAACCAACAUUUUCAUUUCCAUUGCUGAUGGCAACAAGAAGGUACCAUCAGAUUAGGCAUACCACAUCCACCCACCAUGAGAGGAACAUGGAUCUAACACGACGCACAUUCUGAAACACUACGGAUUUUCCACCGAUGAACUCAGCCUAACAGGGAUCUACGUAUCUGACACGGCGCAUGGACAUGGAUUGCAGCAGCAGCCUAU
Molecule: long non-coding RNA, 1539 nt
Filed under: Triticum aestivum (bread wheat)
Lineage: Eukaryota; Viridiplantae; Streptophyta; Magnoliopsida; Poales; Poaceae
Description: long non-coding RNA (TAES_LNC009904)
Source: RNAcentral